RNAcentral lists this ribosomal RNA (490 nucleotides) under uncultured bacterium. Its description in RNAcentral is "partial 16S ribosomal RNA". It matches the Rfam family "Bacterial small subunit ribosomal RNA", at positions 30 to 507 of the family's 1533-position model. The record is from RNAcentral.
AUUGAACGCUGGCGGCAUGCUUUACACAUGCAAGUCGAACGGCAGCACGAAGGAGCUUGCUCUUUUGGUGGCGAGUGGCGAACGGGUGAGUAAUGCAUCGGAACGUACCGAGUAAUGGGGGAUAACUGUCCGAAAGGAUAGCUAAUACCGCAUACGCUUUGAGAAGGAAAGUGGGGGCUCUUCGGACCUCACGUUAUUCGAGCGGCCGAUGUCUGAUUAGCUAGUUGGUGGGGUAAAGGCCUACCAAGGCGACGAUCAGUAGCGGGUCUGAGAGGAUGAUCAGCCACACUGGGACUGAGACACGGCCCAGACUCCUACGGGAGGCAGCAGUGGGGAAUUUUGGACAAUGGGCGCAAGCCUGAUCCAGCCAUGCCGCGUGUCUGAAGAAGGCCUUCGGGUUGUAAAGGACUUUUGUUAGGGAAGAAAAGGAUAGUGUUAAUACCAUGAUCUGCUGACGGUACCUAAAGAAUAAGCACCGGCUAACUACGUG